CUGAUACCUUCCCCUACCCUCACCCUACCCGUUCCCAGGGUAGGGGUUGAAUAGGGGUAGGGUAGGGGGAGGGUAGGGUAGGGGAAGAGUAGAGGUAGGGUAGGGGGAGGGUAGGGUAGGGGUAGGGUAAGGGUAGGGGUAGGGUUGGGGUAGAGAUAGGGUAGGGGUUGAAUAGGGGGAGGGGGAGGGCAGGGGUUGGGUAGAGGAAUGGGAGGGGAGGGGGAGAGAAGGGGUUGAUUAGGGGUAGGGUAGGUGUAGGGUGAGGGGAGGGGUAGGGUAGGGGUAGUAGGAGGGUAGGGUUGAUUAGGGUAGGAAUAGGGGUAGGAUAGGGGUAGGAGUAGGGUAGGGUAGGAAUAGGGGUAGGGUUAGGGUUAGGGAAGGGGAGGAGUAGGGUAGGGUUAGGGGUAGGGGUAGGUUAGUGUUACGUUUAGGGUUAGGUUAGGGUUAUUUUUAGGGUUAGGGUUAGGAUUAGAUUACUUUUAGGGUUAGGGUUAGGGUUAUGUUUAGGGUUAGGCUAUGAUUAGAGUUAUAGUUUUGGUUAUGGUUAGGGUUAAGGAUAAGGUUAGGGUUAUGGUUAAGGUUAAGGUUAGGGUUAGGGUUAGGGUUAUAUUUAUGGUUAUUAUUAGGGUUAUGGUCAGGGUCGGGGUUAGGGUUAUGGUUAGGGUUAGGGUUAGGGUUAGGGUCAUGGUUUAGGUUAUUAUUAGGGUUAGGGUUAGGGUUAUGGUUAGGGUUAGGGUUAGGGUUACGGUUAGGGUCAUGGUUUAGGUUAUUAUUAGGGUUAGGGUUAUGGUUAUGGUUAAGGUUAUGGUUAUUCUUAGGUUUAGGGUUAUUGUUAAGGUUAUGGUUAUUAUUAGGGUUAGGGUUAUUGUUAUGGUUAAGGUUAUGUUUAGGGUUAUGGUUAUGAUUAGGGUCAUGGUUAUGGUUAUUAUUAGGGUCAUGGUUAUGGUUAUCAUUAGGGUUAUGGUUAUGAUUAUGGUCAUGGUUAUGGUUAUUAUUAUGGUUAUGGUUAUCAUUAGGGUGCCCCUAACCCCGCUGCCCACCCAUGAUCUCCAGCAGGACGUGCUCAAAACUCUCCUUCUCGUCCCUCAAUGUGCUGUGGGAUCUCAGCGGCACCGGCAGGAACCCGAACUGCUCCUUAUUGCACACGAACAUCUGCACCUCUAUGGGGAGACGAGGGAGAGUCAGCAACAACCCUACAAACAACCCCAUAAACCAACCCUACAAACCAACCCUAUAAACCAACCCCAUAAACCAACCCUACAAACCAACCCCAUAAACCAACCCUAUAAACCAACCCCAUAA
This 1302-nucleotide long non-coding RNA is filed under the name Coturnix japonica (Japanese quail). RNAcentral's name for it is "lncRNA (ENSCJPG00005001901.1)". Lineage: Eukaryota; Metazoa; Chordata; Aves; Galliformes; Phasianidae. The record is from RNAcentral.